Long non-coding RNA from Cotesia glomerata, 374 nucleotides. RefSeq lists it as uncharacterized. The record is from RefSeq and is a predicted model, not a curated record. Lineage: Eukaryota; Metazoa; Arthropoda; Insecta; Hymenoptera; Braconidae. The transcript has 3 exons.
GAUACCAUCAAAUUUACGUCAUUCAGAUAAUUCAAAAGUUGAAUGGAAAGGGGGUAAAUGGUUUAAAGUUGAACGUGCGAAUAAGAGGUGUAUUUCCAUCAAAAAAGAUUUUUGGGAACCAUUCAAAACAGUAAUUUUGAAUAAAUCAUUUAAAAAAGACGUCGAUCUUCAUAAUCUUUAUGACUCUAAACUAGCAAUAUCCCGUUCAAAAUACAAUAAUUUGAUUCAUUUUUGUACGUCAGACAUAAUUCCAAAAAAAUACCAUCGAUAUUACAAAAAUCUGUGCUUUGGUGAUGAAGUAGAAGAUAAUGAUGAUAAUGGAGACGGCAUCGGAGUAGUACCUAGCUAAAUUGAUAUUUUUGUUUCUGUAAUAA